Molecule: ribosomal RNA, 307 nt
Filed under: uncultured bacterium
Lineage: Bacteria
Description: bacterial SSU rRNA
Rfam family: Bacterial small subunit ribosomal RNA
Source: RNAcentral
GACGAACGCUGGCGGCGUGCCUAACACAUGCAAGUCGAACGGAGUAGAGAGCUUCGGUUUUCUACUUAGUGGCGAACGGGUGAGUAACGCGUGAGGAACCUACCUUUCAGUGGGGGAUAGCGGUUGGAAACGACCGGUAAUACCGCAUAAUGUAUUCGGAUCGCAUGGUCUGAAUACCAAAGAUUUAUUGCUGAAAGAUGGCCUCGCGUCUGAUUAGCUAGUUGGCGGGGUAACGGCCCACCAAGGCGACGAUCAGUAGCCGGACUGAGAGGUUGAACGGCCACAUUGGGACUGAGAUACGGCCCAG